GAGAGCUAUGUCCUUGGGAACUGUGCAGCAAAGAUGACUAGAGCCGCUUCAGGCUUUGCAAAAUUACUACAAACAUAAGCUUCUUAUCUGGACUUGCUGUCUGUGUUUACACCAUUGGACCCAAGAGUGCUUCCCAAUUCCCAUGUCUGGAUGUGUGGUUAGUCAUGCCCCAGCUCUGUGUUGAGAUGGAAACCUGGACAUGUGUGCUGGAUGGGAGCUGCAACGUGUCUCAACAGGCCGAGCCAUUCGGAUGACCAGGAAAUGAGGGCCCCAAGACAUGCUGUAGAGCAAGCUGGGCAUUGGCUCUGAACUCAUCUUCCAGGCUUCCUCUUCAUCAAGAGAAAGAAGAAGGCAUUUCCAAAAGGGAUAAGUGUGUUGGGAAUUGAAUCAGGGAGGAAUGCCAACGGAAAAGUUGACUGAAUGUUAAAAAACAUUUCUAUUUGCUGAAGUUUCUGUUGAGUUAAUUGUAACUCAACCCUUACACUGACAAAACUAAUACUGAAAUUGAUUUGUUUAAAAACACGUC
RNAcentral lists this long non-coding RNA (526 nucleotides) under Chloebia gouldiae (Gouldian finch). RNAcentral's name for it is "Erythrura gouldiae (Gouldian finch) lncRNA (ENSEGOG00005002020.1)". The record is from RNAcentral. Lineage: Eukaryota; Metazoa; Chordata; Aves; Passeriformes; Passeridae.